GAUCCUGGCUCAGGAUGAACGCUAGCUACAGGCUUAACACAUGCAAGUCGAGGGGCAGCAUGUCGGUUGCUUGCAACCGACGAUGGCGACCGGCGCACGGGUGAGUAACGCGUAUCCAACCUACCCUUGUCCAUCGGAUAACCCGUCGAAAGGCGGCCUAACACGAUAUGCGGUUCUCAGCAGGCAUCUAACGAGAACGAAAUGUGAAGGAGAAGGAUGGGGAUGCGUCUGAUUAGCUUGUUGGCGGGGUAACGGCCCACCAAGGCGACGAUCAGUAGGGGUUCUGAGAGGAAGGUCCCCCACAUUGGAACUGAGACACGGUCCAAACUCCUACGGGAGGCAGCAGUGAGGAAUAUUGGUCAAUGGACGGGAGUCUGAACCAGCCAAGUAGCGUGCAGGACGACGGCCCUAUGGGUUGUAAACUGCUUUUAUAGGGGGAUAAAGUGUGCCACGUGUGGCAUAUUGCAGGUACCCUAUGAAUAAGGACCGGCUAAUUCCGUG
RNAcentral lists this ribosomal RNA (501 nucleotides) under uncultured bacterium. Its description in RNAcentral is "bacterial SSU rRNA". It matches the Rfam family "Bacterial small subunit ribosomal RNA", at positions 15 to 507 of the family's 1533-position model. The record is from RNAcentral.